UUAAAAUCACUGUUCAAAACCUUUGUAGGAACUCUUUUCCUACCUUUUGGAGUUAGUUAACCAAAAAAAAAGAAAAAUGAAAAAACAAUAUUUGGGGAGUUCAGGCUUCCUAAAAGUAAUACCCGGGUAUUAGGUUUUGUGGCAAGGGUAAGGUUUAAGGUUUUUGGCAUAAGGGUUAAAAUCCCUGUCCAAAACCUUUGUAGGAACUCUUUUCCAACCUUUUGGAGUUGGUUAGACUAAAAAAAAAUGAAAAAUGAAAAAAAAAUAUUUGGGGUUUUCGGGCUUCCUGAAGGUAAUACCCGGGUAUUAGGUUUUGGGGCUAGGGUAAGGUUUAAGGUUUUUGGCGUUAGGGUUAAAAUCACUGUCCAAAACCUUUGUAGGAACUCUUUUCCAACCUUUUGGAUUUAGUUAGACCAAAAAAAAUGAAAAAUGAAAAAAAAAAUAUUUGGGGUGUUCAGGCUUCCUAAAAGUAAUACCCGGGUAUUAGGUUAUGGGGCUAUGGUAAGGUUUAAGGUUUUUGGCGUUAGGGUUAAAAUCACUGUCCAAAACCUUUGUAGGAACUCUUUUCCAACCUUUUGGAGUUAGUUAGACCAAAAAAAAUGAAAAAUGAAAAAAAAAAUAUUUGGGGUUUUCGGGCUUCCUGAAGGUAAUACCCCGGUAUUACAUUUUAAGGCUAGGGUAAGGUUUAAGUUUUUUGGCGUUAGGGUUAAAAUCACUGUCCAAAACCUUUGUAGGAACUCUUUUCCAACCUUUUGGAUUAAGUUAGACCAAAAAAAAUGAAAAAUGAAAAAAAAAAUAUUUGGGGUUUUCAGGCUUCCUAAAAGUAAUACCCGGGUAUUAGGUUAUGGGGCUAUGGUAAGGUUUGAGGUUUUUGGCGUUAGGGUUAAAAUUACUGUCCAAAACCUUUGUAGGAACUCUUUUCUAACCUUUUGGAGUUGGUUUCACCAACAAAAAUGUAAAAUGAAGAAAAAAAUAUUUGGGGUUUUCGGGCUUCCUGAAGGUAAUACCCGGGUAUUAGAUUUUAAGGCUAGGGUAAGGUUUAAGGUUUUUGGGGUUAGGGUUAAAAUCACUGUACAAAACCUUUGUAGGAACUCUUUUCCAACCUUUUGGAGUUAGUUAGACCAAAAAAAAUGAAAAAAGAAAAAAAAAAUAAUUGGGGGUUUUCAGGCUCCCUGAAAGUAAUACCCGGGUAUUAGGUUUUGGGACUAGGGAAAGGUUUAAGGUUUUUGGCGUUAGGGUUAAAAUCACUGUCCAAAACCUUUGUAGGAACUCUUUUCCAACCUUUUGGAGUUAGUUAGAACAAAAAAAAUGAAAAAUGAAAAAAAGAAAUUUGGGGUGUUCGGGCUUCCUGAAGGAAAUAAUUAGGUUAUGGGGCUAUGGUAAGGUUUAAGGUUUUUGGCGUUAGGGUUAAACUCACUGUCCAAAACCUUUGUAGGAACUCUUUUCCAACGUUUUGGAGUUAGUUAGACAAAAAAAAGGAUGAAAAAUGAAAAAAAAAAUAUUUGGGGUUUUCGGGCUUCCUGAAUGUAAUUACCCGGGUAUUAGAUUUUAAGGCCAGGGUAAGGUUUAAGUUUUUUGGCAUUAGGGUUAAAAUCACUGUCCAAAACCUUUGUAGGAACUCUUUUCCAACCUUUUUGAGUUGGUUAGACCAAAAAAAUAAGAAAAAUGAAAAAAAAAUAUUUGGGGUGUUCAGGCUUCCUAGAAGUAAUACCCGGGUAUUAGGUUGUGGGGCUAUGGUAAGGUUUAACGUUUUGGCGUUAGGUUUAAAAUCACUCUCCAAAACCUUUGUAGGAACUCUUUUCCAACCUUUUGGAGUUAGUUAGACCAAAAAAAGAAUGGAAAAUGAAAAAAAAAUUUUGGCGUUUUCCGGGCUUCCUUAAUGUAAUACCCAGGUAUAAGGUUAUUUGGCUACGGUAAGGUUUAAGUUUUUUGGCGUUAGGGUUAAAAUCACUGUCCAAAACAUUUUUAGGAACUCUUUUCAUACCUUUUGGAGUUAGUUAGACCAUAAAAAAAUGAAAAAAGAAAAAAAAAUAUUGGGGGUUUUCGGGCUUCCUGAAAGUAAUACCCGGGUAUUAGGUUUUGGGGCUAGGUUUAAGGUUUUUGGCGUUAGGGUUAAAAUCACUGUCCAGAACCUUUGUAGGAACUCUAUUCCAACCUUUUGGAGUUGGUUACACCAACAAAAAUGUAAAAUGAAAAAAAAAUAUUUGGGGUUUUCGGGCUUCCUGAAUGUAAUACCCGGGUAUUAGGUUAUGGGGCUAUGGUAAGGUUUAAGGUUUUUGGCAUUAGGUUAAAAAUCACUGUCCAAAACCUUUGUUGGAACUCUUUUCCAAUUUUUUGGAGCUAGUUAGAACAAAAAAAAAAGAAAAAUGAAAAAAAAAUAUUUGGGGUGUUCGGGCUUCCUAAAAGUAAUACCCGGGUAUUAGGUUAUGGGGCUAUGGUUAGGUUAUAGGUUUUUGGCAUUAGGGUUAAAAUCACUGUCCAAAACCUUUGUAGGAACUCUUUUCCAACCUUUUGGAGUUAGUUAGACCAAAAAAAAAACGAAAAAUGAAAAAAAAUAUUUGGAGUGUUCAGGCUUCCUGAAAGUAAUACCCAGGUAUAAGGUUAUUGGGCUAUGGUAAGGUUUAAGUUUUUUGGCGUUAGGGUUAAAAUCACUGUCCAAAACAUUUGUAGGAACUCUUUUCAUACCUUUUGGAGUUAGUUAGACCAAAAAAAAAAUGAAAAAUGAAAAAAAAAUAUUUGGGGUGUUCGGAGUUCCUGAAGGUAAUACCCGGGAAUUAGAUUUUAAGGCUAGGGUAAGGUUUAAGGUUUUUGGCAUUAGGGUUAAAAUCACUGUCCAAAACCUUUGUAGGAACUCUUUUCCAACCUUUUGGAGUUAGUAAGACCAAAAAAAAAAGAAAAAUGAAAAAAAAAUAUUUGGGGUGUUCAGGCUUCCUAAAAGUAAUACACGGGUAUUAGGUUAUGGGGCUAUGAUAAGGUUUAAGGUUUUUGGCAUUAGGGUUAAAAUCACUGUCCAAAACCUUUGUAGGAACUCUUUUCCAACCUUUUGGAGUUGGUUACACCAACAAAAAUGUAAAAUGAAAAAAAUAUAUAUUUGGGGUUUUCAGGCUUCCUAAUAGUAAUACCCGGGUAUUAGGUUAUGGGGCUAUGGUAAGGUUUAAGGUUUUUGGCAUUAGGGUUAAAAUCACUGUCCAAAACCUUUGUAGGAACUCUUUUCCAACCUUUUGGAGUUAGUUAGACCAAAAAAAAACGAAAAAUGAAAAAAAAUAUUUGGAGUGUUCAGGCUUCCUGAAAGUAAUACCCAGGUAUAAGGUUAUUGGGCUAUGGUAAGGUUUAAGUUUUUUGGCGUUAGGGUUAAAAUCACUGUCCAAAACAUUUGUAGGAACUCUUUUCAUACCUUUUGGAGUUAGUUAGACCAAAAAAAAAAUGAAAAAUGAAAAAAAAAUCUUAGGGGUUUUCGGAGUUCCUGAAGGUAAUACCCGGGAAUUAGAUUUUAAGGCUAGGGUAAGGUUUAAGGUUUUUGGCGUUAGGGUUAAAAUCACUGUCCAAAACCUUUGUAGGAACUCUUUUCCAACCUUUUGGAGUUAGUUAGACCAAAAAAUAUGAAAAAAGAAAAAAGUAUUAUUGGGGGUUUUCGGGCUCCCUGAAAGUAAUACCCGUGUAUUAGGUUUUGGGACUAGGGAAAGGUUUAAGGGUUUUGGCGUUAGGGUUAAAAUCACUGUCCAAAACCUUUGUAGGAACUCUUUUCCAACCUUUUGGAGUUGGUUACACCAACAAAAAUGUAAAAUGAAAAAAAAAUAUUUGGGGUUUUCAGGCUUCCUAAUAGUAAUACCCGGGUAUUAGGUUAUGGGGCUAUGGUAAGGAUUAAGGUUUUUGGCAUUAGGGUUAAAAUCACUGUCCAAAACCUUUGUAGGAACUCUUUUCCAAUUUUUUGGAGCUAGUUAGACCAAAAAAAAAAAGGAAAAAUGAAAAAAAUAUAUAUUUAGAGUUUUCAAGGCUUCCUGAAGGUAAUACCCGGGUAUUAGGAUUUGGGGCUGUGGUAAGGUUUAAGGUUUUUGGCGUUAGGGUUAAAAUCACUGUCCAAAACCUUUGUAGGAACUCUUUUCCAACCUUUUGGAGUUAGUUAGACCAAAAAAAAAAAGAAAAAUUAAGAAAAAAUAUUUGGGGUUUUCGGGCUUCCUGAAUGUAAUAAGAUUUUAAGGCUAGGGUAAGGUUUAAGUUUUUUGGCUUUAGGGUUAAAAUCACUGUCCAAAAACUUUGUAGGAACUCUUUUCCAACCUUUUGGAGUUAGUUAGAACAAAAAAAAAGGAAAAAUGAAAAAAAAAUAUUUGGGGUGUUCGGGCUUCCUAAAAGUAAUACCCGGGUAUUAGGUUAUGGGGCUAUGGUUAGGUUAUAGGUUUUUGGCAUUAGGGUUAAAAUCACUGUCCAAAACCUUUGUAGGAACUCUUUUCCAACCUUUUGAAGUUAGUUAGACCAAAAAAAAACGAAAAAUGAAAAAAAAUAUUUGGAGUGUUCAGGCUUCCUGAAAGUAAUACCCAGGUAUUAGGUUAUUUGGCUACGGAAAGGUUUAAGUUUUUUGGCGUUAGGGUUAAAAUCACUGUCCAAAACAUUUUUAGGAACUCUUUUCAUACCUUUUGGAGUUAGUUAGACCAAAAAAAAAAUGAAAAAUGAAAAAAAAAUCUUUGGGGUUUUCGGAGUUCCUGAAGGUAAUACCCGGGAAUUAGAUUUUAAGGCUAGGGUAAGGUUUAAGGUUUUUGGCAUUAGGGUUAAAAUCACUGUCCAAAACCUUUGUAGGAACUCUUUUCCAACCUUUUGGAGUUAGUUACACCAAAAAAAAUGAAAAAUGAAAAAAAAAUAUUUGGGGUGUUCAGGCUUCCUAAAAGUAAUACACGGGUAUUAGGUUGUGGGGCUAUGAUAAGGUUUAAGGUUUUUGGCUAUAGGGUUAAAAUCACUGUCCAAAACCUUUGUAGGAACUCUUUUCCAACCUUUUGGAGUUGGUUACACCAACAAAAAUGUAAAAUGAAAAAAAAAUAUUUGGGGUUUUCAGGCUUCCUAAUAGUAAUACCCGGGUAUUAGGUUAUGGGGCUAUGGUAAGGUUUAAGGUUUUUGGUGUUUGGGUUAAAAUCACUGUCCAAAACCUUUGUAGGAACUCGUUUCCAAUUUUUUGGAGCUAGUUAGACCAAAAAAAAAAAAAAGAAAAAUGAAAAAAAUAAAUAUUUAGAGUUUUCAAGGCUUCCUGAAGGUAAUACCCGGGUAUUAGGAUUUGGGGCUGUGGUAAGGUUUAAGGUUUUUGGCGUUAGGGUUAAAAUCACUGUCCAAAACAUUUGUAGGAACUCCUUUCAUACCUUUUGGAGUUAGUUAGACCAUAAAAAAAUGAAAAAAGAAAAAAAAAUAUUUGGGGUUUUUUGGUUUUCGGGCUUCCUGAAGGUAAUACCCGGGUAUUAGAUUUUAAGGCUAGGGUAAGAUUUAAGUUUUUUGGCGUAAGGGUUAAAAUCACUGUCCAAAACCUUUGUAGGAACUCUUUUCCAACCUUUUGGAGUUAGUUAGACCAAAAAAAAAAAAGAAAAAUGAAGAAAAAAUAUUUGGGGUUUUCGGGCUUCCUGAAUGUAAUAAGAUUUUAAGGCUAGGGUAAGGUUUAAGUUUUUUGGCUUUAGGGUUAAAAUCACUGUCCAAAAACUUUGUAGGAACUCUUUUCCAACCUUUUGGAGUUAGUUAGACCAAAAAAAAAAUGAAAAAAGAAAAGGAAAUAUUGGGGGUUUUCGGGCUUCCUAAAAGUAAUACCCGGGUAUUAAGUUUUCGGGUUAGGGAAAGGUUUAGGUUUUUUGGCUUUAGGGUUAAAAUCACUGUCCAAAACCUUUGUAGGAUUUCUUUUCCAACCUUUUGGAGUUAGUUAGACCAAUAAAAAAUGAAAAAAAAAAAAAAGAUAUUUGGGGUUUUCGGGCUUCCUGAAAGUAAUACCCGGGUUUUGAGUUUUCGGGUAAGGGAAAGGUUUAAGUUUUUUGGCGUUAGUGUUAAAAUCACUGUCCAAAACCUUUGUAGGAACUCUUUUCAAAUUUUUUUGAGCUAGUUAGACAAAAAAAAAAUGAAAAAUGAAAAAAAAAUAUUUGGGGUUUUCGGGCUUCCUGAAGGUAAUACCCGGGUAUUAGGUUAUGGGGCUAUGGUAAGGUUUAAGGUUUUUGGCGUUAGGGUUAAAAUCACUGUCCAAAACCUUUGUAGGAACUCUUUUCCAACCUUUUGGAGUUAGUUAGAACAAAAAAAAAAGAAAAAUGAAAAAAAAAUAUUUGGGGUUUUCGGGCUUCCUGAAGGUAAUACCCAGGUAUUAGGUUAUGGGGCUAUGGUAAGGUUUAAGGUUUUUGGCGUUAGGGUUAAAAUCACUGUCCAAAACCUUUGUAGGAACUCUUUUCCAACCUUUUGGAGUUAGUUAGACCAAAAAAAAAUGAAAAAAGAAAAAGAAAUAUUGGGGGUUUUCGGGCUUCCUGAAAGUAAUACCCGGGUAUUAGGUUUUGGGGCUACGGAAAGGUUUAAGGUUUUUGGCUUUAGGGUUAAAAUCACUGUUCAAAACCAUUGUAAGAACUCUUUUCCAAUAUUUUGGAGUUAGUUAGACCAAUAAAAAAUGAAAAAAGAAAAAAAACAUUUGGGGUUUUCGGGCUUCGUGAAGGUAAUACCCGGGUAUUAGGUUAUGGGGAUAAGGUAAGGUUUAAGGUUUUUGGUAUUAGGUUAUGGGGAUAAGGUAAGGUUUAAGGUUUUUGGCGUUAGGUUUAAAAUCACUGUCCAAAACCUUUGUAGGAACUCUAUUCCAACCUUUUGGAGUUGGUUACACCAACAAAAAUGUAAAAUGAAGAAAAAAAUAUUUGGGGUUUGGGCUUCCUGAGGGUAAUACCCGGGUAUUAGGUUUUGGGGAUAGGGUAAGGUUUAAGUUUUUUGGCAUUAGGGUUAAAAUCACUGUCCAAAGCCCUUGUAGGAACUCUUUUCCAACCUUUUGGAGUUGGUUACACCAACAAAAAUUUUAAAUGAAGAAAAAAAACAUUUGGGGUUUUCGGGCUUCGUGAAGGUAAUACCCGGGUAUUAGGUUAUGGGGAUAAGGUAAGGUUUAAGGUUUUUGGCGUUAGGUUUAAAAUCACUGUCCAAAACCUUUGUAGGAACUCUUUUCCAACCUUUUGGAGUUGGUUACACCAACAAAAAUUUAAAAUGAAAAAAGAAAAAAAAAUAUUUGGGGUUUUCGGGCUUCCUGAAGGUAAUACCCGGGUAUUAGGUUUUGGGGAUAGGGUAAGGUUUAAGGUUUUUUGGCUUUAGGGUUAAAAUCACUGUCCAAAACCAUUGUAAGAACUCUUUUCCAAUCUUUUGGAGUUAGUUAGACCAAAAAAAAAGAAAAAUGAAAAAAAUAUAUUUGGGGUGUUCAGGCUUCCUAAAAGUAAUACUCAGGUAUUAGGUUAUGGGGCUAUGGUAAGGUUUAAGGUUUUUGGCGUUAGGGUUAAAAUCACUGUCCAAAACCUUUUGUAGGAACUCUUUUCCAACCUUUUGGAGUUAGUUAGACCAAUAAAAAAUGAAAAAAGAAAAAAAAGAUAUUUGGGGUUUUCGGGCUUCCUGGAAGUAAUACCCGAGUAUUAAGUUUUGGGGCUAGAAAAAGGUUUAAGGUUUUUGGCGUUAGGGUUAAAAUCACUGUCGAAAAAGCUUUGUAGGAACUCUAUUCCAACCUUUUGGAGUUAGUAAGACCAAAAAAAAUGAAAAAAGAAAAAAAAAUAUUUGGGGUUUUCGGGCUUCCUGAAAGUAAUACCCGGGUAUUAGGUUUUGGGGCUACGGAAAGGUUUAAGGUUUUUGGCUUUAGGGUUAAAAUCACUGUCCAAAACCAUUGUAAGAACUCUUUUCCAAUCUUUUGGAGUUAGUUAGACCAAUAAAAAAUGAAAAAAGAAAAAAAACAUUUGGGGUUUUCGGGCUUCGUGAAGGUAAUACCCGGGUAUUAGGUUAUGGGGAUAAGGUAAGGUUUAAGGUUUUUGGCGUUAGGUUUAAAAUCACUGUCCAAAACCUUUGUAGGAACUCUAUUCCAACCUUUUGGAGUUGGUUACACCAACAAAAAUGUAAAAUGAAGAAAAAAAUAUUUGGGGUUUGGGCUUCCUGAGGGUAAUACCCGGGUAUUAGGUUUUGGGGAUAGGGUAAGGUUUAAGUUUUUUGGCAUUAGGGUUAAAAUCACUGUCCAAAGCCCUUGUAGGAACUCUUUUCCAACCUUUUGGAGUUGGUUACACCAACAAAAAUUUUAAAUGAAGAAAAAAAACAUUUGGGGUUUUUGGGCUUCCUGAAGGUAAUACCCGGGUAUUAGGUUAUGGGGAUAAGGUAAGGUUUAAGGUUUUUGGCGUUAGGUUUAAAAUCACUGUCCAAAACCUUUGUAGGAACUCUAUUCCAACCUUUUGGAGUUGGUUACACCAAAAAAAAUGUAAAAUGAAGAAAAAAAUAUUGGGGUUCGGGCUUCCUGAAGGUAAUAUCCCGGGUAUUAGGUUUUGGGGAUAGGGUAAGGUUUAAGUUUUUUGGCUUUAGGGUUAAAAUCACUGUCCAAAACCAUUGUAAGAACUCUUUUCCAAUCUUUUGGAGUUAGUUAGACCAAAAAAAAAGAAAAAUGAAAAAUGAAAAAAAAAUAUUUGGGGUGUUCAGGCUUCCUAAAAGUAAUACCCAAGUAUUAGGUUAUGGGGCUAUGGUAAGGUUAAAGGUUUUUGGCAUUAGGGUUAAAAUCACUGUCCAAAACCUUUGUAGGAACUCUUUUUCCAACCUUUUGGAGUUAGUUAGACCAAUAAAAAAUGAAAAAAGAAAAAAAAGAUAUUUGGGGUUUUCGGGCUUCCUGAAGGUAAUACCCAGGUAUUAGGUUAUGGGGCUAUGGUAAGGUUUAAGGUUUUUGGCGUUAGGGUUAAAAUCACUGUCCAAAACCUUUGUAGGAACUCUUUUCCAAUUUUUUUGAGCUAGUUAGACAAAAAAAAAUGAAAAAUGAAAAAAAAAUAUUUCGGGUUUUCGGGCUUCCUGAAGGUAAUACCCGGGUAUUAGGUUAUGGGGCUAUUGUAAGGUUUAAGGUUUUUGGCGUUAGGGUUAAAAUCACUGUCCAAAACCUUUGUAGGAACUCUUUUCAACCUUUUGGAGUUAGUUAGACCAAAAAAAAUGAAAAAAGAAAAAGAAAUAUUGGGGGUUUUCGGGCUUCCUGAAAGUAAUACCCGGGUAUUAGGUUUUGGGGCUAGGGAAAGGUUUAAGGUUUUUGGCGUUAGGGUUAAAAUCACUG
This is a non-coding RNA of Xyrichtys novacula (pearly razorfish), 9253 nucleotides long. The record is from the annotation of a GenBank genome assembly. NCBI's taxonomy places the organism in Eukaryota, Metazoa, Chordata, Actinopteri, Labriformes, Labridae.